CUUUCUGUGCCUUCAUUCUCUUCUCUUCAUGUCAAGAAGACUGACAUCCAUUCUGAUAAUUAUGACAGGACCUGGGGUAGCGAGCAUGGACUCAGAUUCUUCUGUAAGAGUGGGCCAGUGUCAAGGAGGUCACUAAAGGACAACAGAAUGAUGCCUUGAACUGAGCAGUACAGAAUCUUACACAGGUUGUAGAAAUAAUGUCUUGGAAGCUG
RNAcentral lists this long non-coding RNA (212 nucleotides) under Pan troglodytes (chimpanzee). RNAcentral's name for it is "long non-coding RNA NONPTRT017429". The record is from RNAcentral. Lineage: Eukaryota; Metazoa; Chordata; Mammalia; Primates; Hominidae.